UACGUAGGGGGCAAGCGUUAUCCGGAUUUACUGGGUGUAAAGGGAGCGUAGACGGCUGUGCAAGUCUGAAGUGAAAGCCCGUGGCUCAACCGCGGAACUGCUUUGGAAACUGUAUAGCUUGAGUACUGGAGAGGCAGGCGGAAUUCCUAGUGUAGCGGUGAAAUGCGUAGAGAUCGGGAGGAACACCAGUGGCGAAGGCGGCCUACUGGGCUUUAACUGACGCUGAGGCACGAAAGCGUGGGUAGCGAACAGG
Molecule: ribosomal RNA, 253 nt
Filed under: uncultured Lachnospiraceae bacterium
Lineage: Bacteria; Bacillati; Bacillota; Clostridia; Lachnospirales; Lachnospiraceae
Description: partial 16S ribosomal RNA
Rfam family: Bacterial small subunit ribosomal RNA
Source: RNAcentral